CUAGAAUCUACCCGAUCAAAGAGUUGUUUUUCAAUACCUUCUCCUUCUCUGCUUCUGCCCUCGAUUCUUAAUUUAGACUAUCGUGCUUUGGUUCUAGUUUGCCCUUGGUGCUGCCGUAUUUCUGAGGUCCUACAACAAGUUCACCUCUCAUCAGGUACAUAUUUCUUCAAUUCUAAUGGACAAUGAUGGUAUGUGUACGUGCGACAAUUAUGGUCGACUUAUCCUGUUUUCUUCGAGUCCGGAGCCAAAAUGACAUAUUUUUACAGCAAUUAGACCAAAAUAGGCUGUCCUUUUUUUUUUUAUACCCAAAUGGCUAUUUCGUUGAUCAUUCAACGAAAUACCCCAGUUACUGUUCAUAGCAGCAACUCUUUUUUUUUUUUUUUUUUUUUGCUAUUUCGUGAAAAAAUGAUUUUUUUUUUACAUAUCAUGACACAAUCCACGAAAUAGAUGUUUUUUUUAUUUUAUUUCGUGAAUAAAAAAAGAAA
Lycium barbarum (goji berry) is the source of this 485-nucleotide long non-coding RNA. RefSeq lists it as uncharacterized. NCBI's taxonomy places the organism in Eukaryota, Viridiplantae, Streptophyta, Magnoliopsida, Solanales, Solanaceae. The record is from RefSeq and is a predicted model, not a curated record. The transcript is spliced from 2 exons.